RNAcentral lists this unclassified non-coding RNA (344 nucleotides) under soil metagenome. RNAcentral describes it as "partial contains 5.8S ribosomal RNA, internal transcribed spacer 2, and large subunit ribosomal RNA". The stretch from base 1 to 122 matches the Rfam family "5.8S ribosomal RNA", at positions 35 to 154 of the family's 154-position model. The record is from RNAcentral.
GAUGAAGAACGUAGCGAAAUGCGAUACGUAAUGUGAAUUGCAGAUCUCUCAGUGAACCAUCGAAUCUUUGAACGCACAUUGCGCCCGCCAGCACUCUGGCGGGCAUGCCUGUUCGAGCGUCAUUGACGACCCUCAGGCCCCCCCGGGGGCCUGGCGUUGGGGGACGGCCCUGGCCGCCCCCGAAAUGCAGUGGCGACCCCCGCCGCGGCCUCCCCUGCGUAGUAGCAACACCUCGCACCGGGGCGCGGAGGCGGUCGCGCCGUAAAACCACCAAGACUCCCACGAGUUGACCUCGGAUCAGGUAGGAAUACCCGCUGAACUUAAGCAUAUCAAUAAGCGGAGGA